RNAcentral lists this ribosomal RNA (408 nucleotides) under Kocuria himachalensis. Its description in RNAcentral is "bacterial SSU rRNA". It matches the Rfam family "Bacterial small subunit ribosomal RNA", at positions 22 to 428 of the family's 1533-position model. The record is from RNAcentral. Lineage: Bacteria; Bacillati; Actinomycetota; Actinomycetes; Micrococcales; Micrococcaceae.
GCUCAGGACGAACGCUGGCGGCGUGCUUAACACAUGCAAGUCGAACGAUGAUGCCCAGCUUCCUGGGCGGAUUAGUGGCGAACGGGUGAGUAAUACGUGAGUAACCUGCCCUUGACUCUGGGAUAAGCCUGGGAAACUGGGUCUAAUACUGGAUACUACCUCCUGCCGCAUGGUGGGUGGUGGAAAGGGUUUUACUGGUUUUGGAUGGGCUCACGGCCUAUCAGCUUGUUGGUGGGGUAAUGGCUCACCAAGGCGACGACGGGUAGCCGGCCUGAGAGGGUGACCGGCCACACUGGGACUGAGACACGGCCCAGACUCCUACGGGAGGCAGCAGUGGGGAAUAUUGCACAAUGGGCGGAAGCCUGAUGCAGCGACGCCGCGUGAGGGAUGACGGCCUUCGGGUUGUAA